RNAcentral lists this transfer RNA (73 nucleotides) under Vigna unguiculata (cowpea). RNAcentral's name for it is "tRNA TRNAY-GUA-20". It matches the Rfam family "tRNA". Rfam says of the family: Transfer RNA (tRNA) molecules are approximately 80 nucleotides in length. RNAcentral also lists the same sequence under 1 other name. The record is from RNAcentral. Lineage: Eukaryota; Viridiplantae; Streptophyta; Magnoliopsida; Fabales; Fabaceae.
CCGACCUUAGCUCAGUUGGUAGAGCAGAGGACUGUAGAUCCUUAGGUCGCUGGUUCGAAUCCGGCAGGUCGGA